GACAGCAGCCGCCGCGGUAAUACGGAGGGGGCUAGCGUUGUUCGGAAUUACUGGGCGUAAAGCGCACGUAGGCGGCUUUGUAAGUUAGAGGUGAAAGCCCGGAGCUCAACUCCGGAAUUGCCUUUAAGACUGCAGAGCUAGCAGGUGAGAGAGGUGAGUGGAAUUCCGAGUGUAGAGGUGAAAUUCGUAGAUAUUCGGAAGAACACCAGUGGCGAAGGCGGCUCACUGGCUCAUACUGGACGCUGAGGUGCGAAAGCGUGGGGAGCAAACAGGAUUAGAUACCCGAGUGUCCCUGUCUCUUAUACA
This 306-nucleotide ribosomal RNA is filed under the name uncultured bacterium. Its description in RNAcentral is "partial 16S ribosomal RNA". It matches the Rfam family "Bacterial small subunit ribosomal RNA", at positions 507 to 808 of the family's 1533-position model. The record is from RNAcentral.